UACGUAGGGUGCGAGCGUUAAUCGGAAUUACUGGGCGUAAAGCGUGCGCAGGCGGUUCGCCGUGUCCGAUGUGAAAGCCCCGGGCUUAACCUGGGAAUGGCAUUGGAAACUGGCGGGCUGGAGUGUGGCAGAGGGGGGUGGAAUUCCACGUGUAGCAGUGAAAUGCGUAGAGAUGUGGAGGAACACCGAUGGCGAAGGCGGCCUCCUGGCUUAAUACUGACACUGAGGUGCGAAAGCGUGGGGAGCAAACAGG
RNAcentral lists this ribosomal RNA (253 nucleotides) under uncultured bacterium. RNAcentral's name for it is "partial 16S ribosomal RNA". It matches the Rfam family "Bacterial small subunit ribosomal RNA", at positions 524 to 776 of the family's 1533-position model. The record is from RNAcentral.